GACGUAGGAUGCAAGCGUUGUCCGGAUUCAUUGGGCGUAAAGAGUUCGUAGGCGGUGAUCUAAGUCUGAUGUUAAAUCCCGAAGCUCAACUUCGGCAUGGCAUUGGAAACUGGAUUGCUAGAGUGCAGUAGAGGUAACUGGAAUUCUCGGUGUAGCGGUGAAAUGCGUAGAUAUCGGGAGGAACACCAGUGGCGAAAGCGAGUUACUGGACUGCAACUGACGCUGAGGAACGAAAGCCAGGGUAGCAAAAGGG
RNAcentral lists this ribosomal RNA (253 nucleotides) under uncultured bacterium. Its description in RNAcentral is "partial 16S ribosomal RNA". It matches the Rfam family "Bacterial small subunit ribosomal RNA", at positions 524 to 776 of the family's 1533-position model. The record is from RNAcentral.